CCGCCGGGCUCCCGAAUAUAGUACACGCCCCCAGGUGUUCUCAGCUCUUUCCUUCCCCGGGCUCACCCUGCCGGGCUCCAGAAUAUAGUACAUUCCCCCAGGUGUUCUCAGCUCUUUCCUUCCCCGGGCUCACCCCGCUGGGCUCCAGAAUAUAGUACAUUCCCCCAGGUGUUCUCAGCUCUUUCCUUCCCCGGGCUCACCCUGCCGGGCUCCAGAAUAUAGUACAUUCCCCCAGGUGUUCUCAGCUCUUUCCUUCCCCGGGCUCACCCCGCUGGGCUCCAGAAUAUAGUACAUUCCCCCAGGUGUUCUCAGCUCUUUCCUUCCCCGGGCUCACCCUGCCGGGCUCCAGAAUAUAGUACAUUCCCCCAGGUGUUCUCAGCUCUUUCCUUCCCCGGGCUCACCCCGCUGGGCUCCAGAAUAUAGUACAUUCCCCCAGGUGUUCUCAGCUCUUUCCUUCCCCGGGCUCACCCUGCCGGGCUCCAGAAUAUAGUACAUUCCCCCAGGUGUUCUCAGCUCUUUCCUUCCCCGGGCUCACCCCGCCGGGCUCCAGAAUAUAGUACAUUCCCCCAGGUGUUCUCAGCUCUUUCCUUCCCAGGGCUCACCCCGCUGGGCUCCCAAAUAUAGUACACGCCCCCAGGUGUUCUCAGCUCUUUCCUUCCCCGGGCUCACCCCGCCGGGCUCCCGAAUAUAGUACAC
Rana temporaria (common frog) is the source of this 696-nucleotide long non-coding RNA. RefSeq lists it as uncharacterized. NCBI's taxonomy places the organism in Eukaryota, Metazoa, Chordata, Amphibia, Anura, Ranidae. The record is from RefSeq and is a predicted model, not a curated record. The transcript is spliced from 3 exons.